CACGUAGGGGGCGAGCGUUGUCCGGAAUCAUUGGGCGUAAAGAGCUCGUAGGCGGCUCAGUAAGUCGGGUGUGAAACCCCCAGGCUCAACCUGGGGACGCCACCCGAUACUGCUGUGGCUAGAGUCCAGUAGGGGAGUGUGGAAUUCCCGGUGUAGCGGUGAAAUGCGCAGAUAUCAGGAAGAACACCCGUGGCGAAAGCGGCUCUCUGGAACGGUACUGACGCUGAGACGCGAAAGCGUGGGGAGCGAACAGG
Molecule: ribosomal RNA, 254 nt
Filed under: uncultured bacterium
Lineage: Bacteria
Description: partial 16S ribosomal RNA
Rfam family: Bacterial small subunit ribosomal RNA
Source: RNAcentral